RNAcentral lists this ribosomal RNA (886 nucleotides) under Sodalis-like symbiont of Ommatidiotus dissimilis. RNAcentral's name for it is "bacterial SSU rRNA". It matches the Rfam family "Bacterial small subunit ribosomal RNA", at positions 190 to 1070 of the family's 1533-position model. Lineage: Bacteria; Pseudomonadati; Pseudomonadota; Gammaproteobacteria; Enterobacterales; Bruguierivoracaceae. The record is from RNAcentral.
CAGAUUACCUUGUUACGACUUCACACCAUCUGAUGAACCCAGAUGAGAUUAGCUAGUAGGUGGGGUAAUGGCUCUCCUAGGCUACGAUCUCUAGCUGGUCUGAGAGGAUGACCAGCCACACUGGAACUGAGACACGGUCCAGACUCCUACGGGAGGCAGCAGUGGGGAAUAUUGCACAAUGGGGGAAACCCUGAUGCAGCUAUGCCGCGUGUGUGAAGAAGGCCUUCGGGUUGUAAAGCACUUUCAGCGGGGGAAGAAAGCAAAGGCGUUAAUAUCGCCAUUGAUUGACGAUACCCGCAGAAGAAGCACCGGCUAACUCCGUGCCAGCAGCCGCGGUAAUACGGAGGGUGCAAGCGUUAAUCGGAAUUACUGGGCGUAAAGCGUACGCAGGCGGUCUGUUAAGUCAGAUGUGAAAUCCCCGGGCUCAACCUGGGAACUGCAUUUGAAACUGGCAGGCUAGAGUCUCGUAGAGGGGGGUAGAAUUCCAGGUGUAGCGGUGAAAUGCGUAGAUAUCUGGAGGAAUACCGGUGGCGAAGGCGUCCCCCUGGACGAAGACUGACGCUCAGGUACGAAAGCGUGGGGAGCAAACAGGAUUAGAUACCCUGGUAGUCCAUGCUGUAAACGAUGUCGAUUUGAAGGUUGUGGUCUUGAGCCGUGGCUUUCGGAGCUAACGCGUUAAAUCGACCGCCUGGGGAGUACGGCCGCAAGGUUAAAACUCAAAUGAAUUGACGGGGGCCCGCACAAGCGGUGGAGCAUGUGGUUUAAUUCGAUGCAACGCGAAGAACCUUACCUACUCUUGACAUCCAGAGAACUUGGCAGAGAUGCCUUGGAACCUUCGGGAACCCUGAGACAGGUGCUGCAUGGCUGUCGUCAGCUCGUGUUGUGA